Girardinichthys multiradiatus is the source of this 666-nucleotide long non-coding RNA. RefSeq lists it as uncharacterized. The record is from RefSeq and is a predicted model, not a curated record. The transcript has 2 exons. NCBI's taxonomy places the organism in Eukaryota, Metazoa, Chordata, Actinopteri, Cyprinodontiformes, Goodeidae.
UUUUUGUUAAAAACUCACAAAGCAGAAAAAAGGGACAUCAGACAAUAUGUCUCCAAGGAACUUACUGCAACCCGUCUCUUCUUUGCACAGCAAUGGACUAUCUGUGAGAGGGGACAGCACUGGACCCUGCUAAAAGCCAUUGACAUGUCGCCGAGGUUAACAAAGAUAGUGGGGCCAUUCUUCAUCAAUGAAAACCUCAAGACCACUGGAUAUGUGAAAUUGCUACAUGAUGAUGUGUUUCCCUCUUUAUGCACUGAAGCUGGCACGAUCCCUGAGUUUUUCCAGCAAGAUGGUGCACCACCACAUUAUGGGUGUAAGGUCCGAGCAUUCCUAGAUGAACGGUUUCCUGGAAAGUGGAUUGGUCAUCGUGGGCCAGUUGAAUGGCCCCCAAGAUCCCCCGAUCUGACCCCAUUAGACUUUUAUCUUUGGGGUCAUCUGAAGGCAAUUGUCUAUGCUGUGAAGAUACGAGAUGUGCAGCACCUGAGACUACGGAUACCGGAAGCCUGUGCUAGCAUUUCUCCUGCGGUGUUGCUAUCAGUGUGUGAAGAGUGGGAGAAGAGGGUUGCAUUGACAAUCCAAAACAAUGGGCAGCACAUUGAACACAUUUUAUAAGUGGUCAGAAACUUGUAAAUAACUCAUGAAAGAAUAAAGUUAUGUUAAAACCAA